Molecule: long non-coding RNA, 225 nt
Filed under: Mytilus galloprovincialis (Mediterranean mussel)
Lineage: Eukaryota; Metazoa; Mollusca; Bivalvia; Mytilida; Mytilidae
Source: RNAcentral
UGUGUUAAACUUUUAUUCCAACUUUAUGUAGUUGUAGCUACAAACAUAUUUUAUGCUACUUCAAUAAAUAUGUUACACUUUUCCUCAAAUCUUGUAUAGAUCAAGCUACAAAAAUAUUUUUUUGUCAUGCAUCCAAUUUCACCUUGAGAGAUGCAAACGCCUGAUGAAGCUAAUUUGUUUAGCGAAAUAUUGCGUAUUUCUAUUUUAAAUCUAAUGGAACUUUUU